AUUGAACGCUGGCGGAAUGCUUUACACAUGCAAGUCGAACGGCAGCACGGACUUCGGUCUGGUGGCGAGUGGCGAACGUGUGAGUAAUGUAUCGGAACGUGCCCAGUCGCGGGGGAUAACGUAGUGAAAAUUACGCUAAUACCGCAAACGAUUUAUGGAUGAAAGCGGGGGAUCGUAAGACCCUGCGGGAUGGGAGCGGCUGCUAUCAGAUUAGGUAGUUGGUGGGGUAAAGGCCCGCCACGCCAACGAUCUGUAGCUGGUCUGAGAGGACGACCAGCCACACUAGUACUGAGACACGGUCCAGACUCCUACGGGAGGCAGCAGUGGGGAAUUUUGGACAAUGGGCGAAAGCCUGAUCCAGCCAUUCCGCGUGCAGGAUGAUGGCCCUCGGGUUGUAAACUGCUUUUGUACAGAACGAAAAGGUUUCUACGAAUACUAGGAGCUCAUGACGGUACUGUAAGAAUAAGCACCGGCUAACUACGUGCCAGCAGCCGCAGUAA
This 500-nucleotide ribosomal RNA is filed under the name uncultured bacterium. Its description in RNAcentral is "partial 16S ribosomal RNA". It matches the Rfam family "Bacterial small subunit ribosomal RNA", at positions 30 to 523 of the family's 1533-position model. The record is from RNAcentral.